CAAAAACAUCGCCUCUUGACAAAACAUAAGAGGUCCAGCCUGCCCAGUGACAAAGUUCAACGGCCGCGGUACCCUAACCGUGCGAAGGUAGCAUAAUCACUUGUUCUUUAAAUGAGGACUCGUAUCAACGGCACUACGAGGGCUAUACUGUCUCCUUUUUCUAAUCAGUGAAACUGAUCUCCCCGUGAAGAAGCGGGGAUUAAAAUAUAAGACGAGAAGACCCCAUGGAGCUUUAAACUCACCAUGCACCUCUGUGCUCUUAUACCCUUAGACACACCAGACCUGCAUGCUAGUUUUAGGUUGGGGUGACCACGGAGUAUAACUUAACCUCCAUAGCAAAUGGGCUAAUACCCUUAUCCAAGAGACACAACUCUAAGAAUUAUUAAACUAAUGCUUACGACCCGAUAUUCGAUCAAUGAACCAAGUUACCCUGGGGAUAACAGCGCAAUCUACUUCAAGAGCCCCUAUCGACAAGUAGGUUUACGACCUCGAUGUUGGAUCAGGGUAUCCUGGUGGUGCAGCCGCUACCAACGGUUCGUUUGUUCAACGAUUAAAACCCUACGUGAU
Molecule: ribosomal RNA, 567 nt
Filed under: Rana maoershanensis
Lineage: Eukaryota; Metazoa; Chordata; Amphibia; Anura; Ranidae
Description: partial 16S ribosomal RNA
Rfam family: Bacterial large subunit ribosomal RNA
Source: RNAcentral